AACAAUUAAAUCAUAUUAAUAUUUAAAAUAAAUUAGAAAAUAGAGAAGAUAAUUAGCAUUGCUUCUAAAGCAUAAUUUAAGUUGAUAUGAAUCUAACACAACAAAAACAAGGUUAAAUAGAGUUAAAACGUGAAAUCUAGGAGCUAAACAAGGUUGGGGAUCUAAUCGUGAUUAACGAAAGAUUACAUGGCCUAACAAAGGAUAUUAGCAAGACACUACAAAUAAUGCUCACAAAAAGAUCAAAGGAUAAGGUUAGAUCUGUUAAAGGUGCAUGGCUCGGGUUCGAUUGAAGGCAUCUAAUUCUUUCAAGGUGGGGGGUUAUCUAUAGAUUUGCCAAGAUACAAAAGAUAAGGUAGUCAUUAUAGGGUUCUCUAGGAUCUUAAACUCAAAAGGGCUCGGGCUUCUUCUUCCUCUAGCCUAGGGCGGCUCUGGGCAAUGAUCCUCACCGGCGCUACGGGUGGCUAGGGUCUCUGGCAGGUGGCGCUAUCAUUUCCCUUGCAGGCACCCUCAAACAAAUCAGAGCCUACACCCUCGGUAUUGCCUACAUUCAUCCCCGCCCCCUUCACCCUCCCCCUCGAAACAAAAAAAAGGGCUCAACUCUAGCUCUCCCGAUGUUGCCACC
RNAcentral lists this long non-coding RNA (622 nucleotides) under Setaria viridis. RNAcentral describes it as "long non-coding RNA (SVIR_LNC007594)". Lineage: Eukaryota; Viridiplantae; Streptophyta; Magnoliopsida; Poales; Poaceae. The record is from RNAcentral.